CGGCGAGUGAAGCGGCAAUAGCUCAAAUUUGAAAGCUGGCGCCUUCGGCGUCCGCGUUGUAAUUUGUAGAGGAUGCUUCGGCGAGGACUCCUGCCUAAGUCCCCUGGAACGGGGCGUCACAGAGGGUGAGAAUCCCGUACGUGGCGGGCGGUCCGAGCCAUGUGAAGCUCCUUCGACGAGUCGAGUUGUUUGGGAAUGCAGCUCUAAAUGGGAGGUAAAUUUCUUCUAAAGCUAAAUACUGGCCAGAGACCGAUAGCGCACAAGUAGAGUGAUCGAAAGAUGAAAAGCACUUUGGAAAGAGAGUUAAAAAGUACGUGAAAUUGUUGAAAGGGAAGCGCUUGCAACCAGACUCGUCCGCAGUUGCUCAGCCGGCCUCUUGGCCGGUGUACUCUUCUGCGGCCGGGCCAGCAUCGGUUUGGGCGGCCGGAUAAAGGUGUCGGGAAUGUAGCACCCUUCGGGGUGUGUUAUAGCCCGGCGCGGAAUGCGGCCAGCCUGGACCGAGGAUCUCGCUUCGGCAAGGAUGCUGGCGUAAUGGUUGUAAGCGGCCCGUCUUGAAACACGGACCAAGGAGUCUAACAUCUAUGCGAGUGUUUGGGUGUCAAACCCAUGCGCGUAAUGAAAGUGAACGGAGGUGGGAACCCCUCGCGGGGUGCACCAUCGACCGAUCCUGAUGUCUUCGGAUGGAUUUGAGUAAGAGCAUAGCUGUUGGGACCCGAAAGAUGGUGAACUAUGCCUGAAUAGGGUGAAGCCAGAGGAAACUCUG
Molecule: ribosomal RNA, 763 nt
Filed under: Guignardia rhodorae
Lineage: Eukaryota; Fungi; Ascomycota; Dothideomycetes; Botryosphaeriales; Phyllostictaceae
Description: eukaryotic LSU rRNA
Rfam family: Eukaryotic large subunit ribosomal RNA
Source: RNAcentral